GUUUACUUUUUGUUGUGCUGGGAAUUGAUUGCAUGCCCAUGGUACCUGGUGAUCCUUGGAGAGAUGACAAGCGACUCACAGAGCCUUCCCUCAGCUUCCCCAGGAUGCCACUGGCAAAGGGGACAGAGUGGGCAUUGGGGGUCAGACAGCUGGAAUCCUAGCACCACCACCUACCAACUGUGUGAGCCUGGGCAAGGCCCUUCGAAAGCAGUGUCUUCAUCAGCAGAGGGGACCUGAUGAGGAUGCCUGUUCCUUUGGAAGGGAGUGUGAAGCUGGGAUUCAUGUUCCUGAAUACCAGAGAUCUGA
RNAcentral lists this long non-coding RNA (306 nucleotides) under Mus musculus (house mouse). RNAcentral's name for it is "predicted gene, 48396". Lineage: Eukaryota; Metazoa; Chordata; Mammalia; Rodentia; Muridae. The record is from RNAcentral.